GGACGAAAGUCUGACGGAGCGACGCCGCGUGGUGGAUGAAGUCCCUCGGGACGUAAACACCUUUUAUGAGUGAAGAAGUUUAUUGACAUUAGCUCAUGAAUAAGGGGCUCCCAACUCUGUGCCAGCAGGAGCGGUAAUACAGAGGCCCCAAGCAUUAUCCGGAUUCACUGGGCGUAAAGGGUGCGUAGGCGGUUAUAUUAGUCGGGUGUUAAAUCCUUGGGCUCAACCCAAGGCUCGCAUUCGAAACGGUAUAACUAGAAGGAGUCAGAGGUAAGCAGAACUCUCGGUGUAGGGGUGAAAUCCGUUGAUAUCGAGGGGAAUACCAAAUGCGAAGGCAGCUUACUGGGACUUUCUUGACGCUGAGGCACGAAAGCGUGGGUAGCGAACGGGAUUAGAUACCCCGGUAGUCCACGCCCUAAACGCUGUCUGUUGGCUUUGGGGGGAAUCGACCCCCUCCGAGGCGAAGUUAACACGGUUAAACAGACCGCCUGGGUAGUACGAGCGCAAGCUUAAAACUCAAAGGAAUAGACGGGGGCUCGCACAAGCGGUGGAUCAUGUGGCUUAAUUCGUCGAUAAGCGAAAAACCUUACCAAGGCUAGAAAUCAUACUGCACGCUUCGGGAAACCGAAGAAGCCUUCGAGGGUGUAUGACAGGUGAUGCAUGGCCGUCGUCAGUUCGUGGCUUGAGCUGUUCCCUUAAGUGGGGAAACGAACGCAACCCUCGUUGCCUGUUACAAGUGUCAGGCGAGACUGCUCCCUCACGGGAGAGGAAGGUGAGGAUGACGCCAGGUCAGCAUGUCCCUUGAUGCCUUGGGCCGCACACGUGAUACAAUGGGACGUACAACGGGACGCAAUACCGCAAGGUGGAGCAAAUCCUAAUAAAACGUUCCUCAGUUCGGAUUGUGGGCUGCAACUCGCCCACAUGAAGCCGGAAUCGCUAGUAAUCGUGAAUCCGCACGUCACGGUGAAUACGUUCCCGAGCCUUGUACUCACCGCCCGUCAAGUCAGGGGAGUCGGGAGUGCCCGAAGUACCACCUCGC
RNAcentral lists this ribosomal RNA (1039 nucleotides) under uncultured organism. RNAcentral describes it as "bacterial SSU rRNA". It matches the Rfam family "Bacterial small subunit ribosomal RNA", at positions 373 to 1437 of the family's 1533-position model. The record is from RNAcentral.